CGACCCCCGCUCCGGACCUCACUCCUCCAGGGAGGGCUGCGUACCUUAGGGUGGCUUUUUCCUCUCCAGCAGGAAUUUCUUCCUCUUCUGCAUUAGUCAGGACUGUCCCUUGUUGUGGUUUUUUUUUUUUUUUUAUCCAGUUUUCAGUUUUCUAUCCAGGGUGCUGUCACUGUCUUCUUCACCAUUGCUUCUUCGGCAAAACCUGGGAGAGAACAAAAGGCAUUCAGUAAAUAAUGUUUGAACGAAUGAUGCCUACUCGCACACCUCUGAAUAGCUGGAAUGAAGACAAGCACGAGAUGAUUGAGACAAGAAAUCUGUCCUCAGAAUCCAGGGCCAAACACCAGCAAGCCACCAACAGAAGAUUUCCAGAAAGACUGAAAUUGCUCCCAGGGGAACCACUAAUGGGUCUGGAAGACAAAGAAGAGGCGUUAGUUCAGGAAGCCACUGUUCCAAUGGCUACUCCAAUACCUCGUUCAUCAAGCUGCUCCAUUGAUGAAGUGGCCCCCUGCAGUGUGGGAGACACUUCCUGUAAGGGAAGAUUCACAUCCCUGAGGGGUCCUCUGAGCCAAGGGUGGUGAUGAGGUGGCUGGGAGGGUGCUUAAAGGAGAAUGAAUACACCACACUAACAAGGAGAAGUGCUAAGCCUGCCUUCGUUGCAAGUUUGCACAAAAGCAUUCCUCGUCAACUGGGCUCCAGAUGUCUCUGAAUGAAGCUUUUGCCAACUGACAACUGGGUUUCUUAACUGUGUUCCAAUAAUCCACAUAUAUGUUUGUGAGUUGCCUGGAAAUUUACUGUUGUUCUAAAUUAAAUAGAGAACAAGAUUGUAUUAAUUAUACGCAACAAUCAACCAAGUCUAAGAGCUGAAGUCUUUAAGUUUGUUCUUUGAAGCAUAUUCCUGGUUUAUUAAAAGGAAAUGAAAGUAAGGAAAUGAUGAAACCACUCAGUGCUUGAAAACUCUGGAUCCCGGUUAGAACUGUCCUUUGAACGCUGUUAAAUUAGUCGUUACUGAGAGGCAGCUGUGCCCUCGAUAGUGACCGUAAGUAAACCUCUGAUUUGGGAGUCUUUUUUAACCCUGAUGUGGUUCUCAGAGUGUGUGAGAAAAUUCUGAGGAUUGACAUUUGGAAAGAAGGAAAGUGACACUCUGUAGCCUGAGUAAAUCACUUCCAAUGACCAGUGAGAAUUAGAGACAAGAGCUGUAACAAAAGGUACAAGGAACGAGAGGAUCCUAGGUGAAAAAGAAACAUAUAAUUCUAUCAAAAUGGUCUAGAGGGACGUGCUACAGAGGCCCAUUCACCGGGCAAUCACUUUUUGCAACAGAUCUGGGAGAGAGGAAUGGCAAAGCUUACAUGGACUGAAAUUCACCUCAGACCCCUCUUCAGCUCUUCUUUAUCUGUAUUUCCCUGAUAGUGUGCAAAAAGAGAUGCCGGAGUAUGAUUUUCCAUUCCCCAUUGUUGGUUAAAUCAGAGUGUCUCAUGUGGGGAGCACUAGCACUAAGCAUUUUUUGGUUGAGAAGAAAGGAGGCAAAGGUUAUCGAGGAAAAUCUCCAAAGAACAUGGAACUGGAAUUCAGGAAAUUAACUUGCUUUCUCCGUAACGAGCAGCCUUCCCUCUCACUCUGCGGCCAAAUCUGUCUCCUGCUUUCUCAACGUUGUCAGAUUCCCCAGUGAAAAAUGAGAAUCAUUCUUACCAUAUAUCUCAUCUUUUUGAGUCAAAUAAAGGUUCAAUAUA
RNAcentral lists this long non-coding RNA (1727 nucleotides) under Equus caballus (horse). RNAcentral's name for it is "lncRNA (ENSECAG00000038693.3)". The record is from RNAcentral. Lineage: Eukaryota; Metazoa; Chordata; Mammalia; Perissodactyla; Equidae.